GCGCAGGUGGGAAUGUAAGUCAGUGGUGAAAUACUGCCGCUUAACGGUAGAGCUGCCAUUGAUACUGCGUUUCUUGAGUAUGGUUGAGGUAGGUGGAAUGUGUUGUGUAGCGGUGAAAUGCAUAGAUAUGACACAGAACGCCGAUUGCGAAGGCAACUUACUAAGCCAUUACUGACGCUGAGGCACGAAAGCGUGGGUAGCGAACAGGAUUAGAUACCCUGGUAGUCCACGCUGUAAACGAUGUUCACUCGCUGUUUGCGAUACACAGUAAGCGGCUGAGCGAAAGCAUUAAGUGAACCACCUGGGGAGUACGAUCGCAAGGUUGAAACUCAAAGGAAUUGACGGGGGCCCGCACAAGCGGAGGAACAUGUGGUUUAAUUCGAUGAUACGCGAGGAACCUUACCUGGGCUUAAAUGUAGAUUGCAUGGAUUGGAAACAGUUCUUCCCUUCGGGGCUAUUUACAAGGUGCUGCAUGGUUGUCGUCAGCUCGUGCCGUGAGGUGUCGGGUUAAGUCCCAUAACGAGCGCAACCCCUAUCGUUAGUUGCCAGCGGGUCAAGCCGGGGACUCUAGCGAGACUGCCACCGUAAGGUGAGAGGAAGGUGGGGAUGACGUCAAAUCAGCACGGCCCUUAUGUCCAGGGCUACACACGUGUUACAAUGGCCGAUACAAAGGGCAGCUACUUCGCGAGAAGAUGCUAAUCUCUAAAGUCGGUCCCAGUUCGGAUUGGAGUCUGCAACCCGACUCCAUGAAGUUGGAUUCGCUAGUAAUCGCGCAUCAGCCAUGGCGCGGUGAAUACGUUCCCGGGCCUUGUACACACCGCCCGUCAAACCAUGGGAGCUGGGGGUGCCUGAAGUCUGCCACCGCAAGGAGCGGCC
RNAcentral lists this ribosomal RNA (876 nucleotides) under uncultured bacterium. RNAcentral describes it as "bacterial SSU rRNA". It matches the Rfam family "Bacterial small subunit ribosomal RNA", at positions 569 to 1457 of the family's 1533-position model. The record is from RNAcentral.